This 205-nucleotide long non-coding RNA is filed under the name Elaeis guineensis (African oil palm). Its description in RNAcentral is "long non-coding RNA (EGUI_LNC039875)". The record is from RNAcentral. Lineage: Eukaryota; Viridiplantae; Streptophyta; Magnoliopsida; Arecales; Arecaceae.
GAUAUGUUAUUACUAGGAUGAUAGACAUAUCAAGUGUAGAUCGUUGUGCACCAUAUAAGUUGGUUAUUUUCUUAACCAAGGAGUGUGAAAAUGCUGGUACGGUAUGCAGGUGAAAUAUAAGAGUACAUUUCACUGAAUAUAACCAACUCUAGAGCACUCUGCUGUCAAGAGUUAUUUAGAAAGGAUAUGGAUAUAAGUAUCUCUC